AGCGAACGCUGGCGGCAGGCUUAACACAUGCAAGUCGAACGAACUCUUCGGAGUUAGUGGCGGACGGGUGAGUAACACGUGGGAACGUGCCUGUUGGUUCGGAAUAACUCAGGGAAACAUGUCUUAAUACCGCAUGUGCCCUUCGGGGGAAAGAUGUAUCGCCAUUGGAGCGGCCCGCGUCUGAUUAGCUAGUUGGUGAGGUACCGGCUCACCAAGGCGUCGAUCAGUAGCUGGUCUGAGAGGAUGACCAGCCACACUGGGACUGAGACACGGCCCAGACUCCUACGGGAGGGAGGGGAGGGGAAUCUUGCGGAAUGAGCGAAAGCCUGACGCAGCCAUGCCGCGUGAAUGAUGAAGGUCUUAGGAUUGUAAAAUUCUUUCACCGGGGACGAUAGUGACGGUACCCGGAGAAGAAGCCCCGGCUAACUACGUG
This 433-nucleotide ribosomal RNA is filed under the name uncultured bacterium. RNAcentral's name for it is "partial 16S ribosomal RNA". It matches the Rfam family "Bacterial small subunit ribosomal RNA", at positions 29 to 507 of the family's 1533-position model. The record is from RNAcentral.